GGAGGGUGCUAUUCACUUUGAAUUUCUUCAUAGUAAUAUAUAGAGAGAUGGAUUAUAGAGACUGUCUCUAAGCCAGAUCUCAACUAAUUAAAAUGUGUGCUAUAGUGGCUUCUCAGCUGUCUAGUAAAAUGAGCAGUACAAUCUAAAAGAGUCUAAAGAAGGUACUGUCCUAGAGAAGAAUUGGCAGUGCUGUGUUGCUGCCAUCACUAUCUUUCCCUUCCUCCCCUUUCCUCAUGGCAAGACGCAUGGAAGAAGAGUGCUGUUAAGGCCUCUCCAUUAAUCAACAG
This 287-nucleotide small RNA is filed under the name Pan troglodytes (chimpanzee). Its description in RNAcentral is "processed transcript". Lineage: Eukaryota; Metazoa; Chordata; Mammalia; Primates; Hominidae. The record is from RNAcentral.